This 729-nucleotide ribosomal RNA is filed under the name Triticum aestivum (bread wheat). RNAcentral describes it as "partial small subunit ribosomal RNA". The record is from RNAcentral. Lineage: Eukaryota; Viridiplantae; Streptophyta; Magnoliopsida; Poales; Poaceae.
AUGCCCACUGAACCCAUGGACACCAUCCCGCUGCAGACGAUGUACCGCGGCCAUGCUCAUGCCAAAGAGAUAACAACGAACGAUGCCGCGUCCACCUCAGGCAGCGCCGCGGCGGCGCCCUUCUCUGUUGAGCCCAUCAACGCCGUUCCGCUCCGGGCGGUGCCGUGCCCGCACGUCCCUCACGCCGCCGGCGCAGCCCCGCUGGAGCCGGCCUGGAUACGCACGGCGCUGGGCCUCCAGCCUGGCCACGCGCUCUACUUCAUCGCCCAGAAGCGCGUCGAGUGCUCGGACCUCGAGAUGCAGCAGAGCCGCUUCAGGAUACCGAGCGCCGCCGUCGACCGUCUCCGCCCGCUCCUCUCCGACGACGGGCGUCACGCCGCCAACCUGGACAAUCUCAAGCCCCGGGAGAAGCCGAAAGCGCAGGCGUCCGGCAACGGGAGGGCGCAGGGGAGGAAGCACGGCGGGCUGGUCGUGCCGCUCUACAUCAACCGUGCCGGCGACCGGAUGGAUGCUCGGCUGACACGAUGGGAUUCUAACGACUACACGGUGCUGAAAUACGGAAACAGCCAGAGCUUCGUCCGCGGGAGUGGCCUCAAAGUGAUGGACAUAAUCCAGAUAUGGGCGUUCCAGAACCCUGGCCUGCAUUUGGUGAUCCACAAGAUCGACGGCGGUGAGAUGACGGCGGCGCCAUCGGCAUCAGCAGGAGGGCAGCAGUCAGCGAAAAUAUAA